Molecule: long non-coding RNA, 806 nt
Filed under: Salmo salar (Atlantic salmon)
Lineage: Eukaryota; Metazoa; Chordata; Actinopteri; Salmoniformes; Salmonidae
Description: lncRNA (ENSSSAG00000099371.1)
Source: RNAcentral
GUGCUAAAUGCAUGGGCAGAGUUGUUGCCUAAUGUAUAUUAUGAAUGUGGACAUAUUGACCUGAUUAUGAAUCAACCUAUAUUUCUGAAUGAGAAAAUCAAGAACAAAGAAAAAGUUUUGUAUAAUAAAGUAUUUAUGAGUGCAGGUCUACGGCAAAUAAAAGAUUAUACUUAUGAGGUAAUUCCAGGGUUUUUACCUGGGGAAGCUAUUUUUGACAUAAUCAAUGAAUGGGAUGAAGAGGUGGGAAGGGGAACAGUGAAUAAUAUGUAUGACAAGAUAAAGAAUAGUAUACCAAGAGCAUGGGUUGAUUUAAUAAAUAGUGAAGUUGAAAGAGAAGAUUUAUUUGUAUUUCCUAAUUUGUUCAUUGGUAGCAGUAAGAAGAAAGUACAUUUAUCUAGUAUACCAGUGAAAAGAUUGUAUAGAAUAAUGGUAGGAAAAGUGUGUAGAAGGCCGGCUGCUGAGAAAUUUUGGAAAGUAGUUUUUCCGGAAUUGGAUGAAAAAAAGAUAUGGGGAAAUUUAAAUGUAAAAUAUAAUAGUAAGGAGUGUGAAAAUAAUGAUUUCAAACUAAGACAUAAUAGAAUAUUUACAAAGGUGGUGCUAAAGAAAAUUAAUUGUGAGAUAGAAAGGGAAUGCGACGUAUGUGGACGUUUCCCGGAAACUCUUAUGCAUUUGUUUAUAGAAUGUGAGGAUUUAAAAUAUUUUUUUUGUAAAGUUAAGGAAAUGUUAUGUAGAAACUGGGGGGAGAUUUCGUGAAAAAGUAUGCGUGGGAGGAACUUUUGUUAUUUGGAGUGUCUGGUAAAUGUGAG